This 77-nucleotide transfer RNA is filed under the name Hyphomonadaceae bacterium UKL13-1. RNAcentral describes it as "tRNA-Met". It matches the Rfam family "tRNA". From Rfam's summary of the family: Transfer RNA (tRNA) molecules are approximately 80 nucleotides in length. RNAcentral also lists the same sequence under 4 other names. The record is from RNAcentral. Lineage: Bacteria; Pseudomonadati; Pseudomonadota; Alphaproteobacteria; Hyphomonadales; Hyphomonadaceae.
GGCUGGGUAGCUCAGCUGGUUAGAGCGCACGACUCAUAAUCGUGAGGUCGAGAGUUCAAGUCUCUCUCCCGCCACCA